Long non-coding RNA from Mus musculus (house mouse), 1596 nucleotides. RefSeq annotates it as predicted gene, 46969. The transcript has 4 exons. The record is from RefSeq and is a predicted model, not a curated record. Lineage: Eukaryota; Metazoa; Chordata; Mammalia; Rodentia; Muridae.
CACACCUUGUGGCCAUGAACUUGAGAUCUUCCUUCAUCAACUCCCCAAGUACUGGGAUUCAUUGUGUGCAUGCAUUAUCUCAUCCAGCUGAGAAAAUUUACAUCAACAUCUCCUGACAUAUAUGAAGAAGAAGAGGCAUAUCCGCUGCCCAGGAACUAUCAACGUGUGGAGCCACUGCCUGAGAUGACCUCAGGGGAGAGCACGCACGAAGUUCCCCACUACCACAAAUUAUGCAGCCGAGUUUCCCACAUUUGGAGAAAUUGCAGGAGGCAGCACAUCCGGAGUGCAAUGGAUAAGUCUCGCUCUGGGAAAACCACCUUUGUGAUCAUGGUACCUCCGCAGCCAAGCUGAGCAUUUGGAGACUUAAAAAUUGAUGUGAAGCCAGAAGCCAGGUCUCACUGGGUGGCACAGAUGGCCUAGAGCUCCAGAUUCUCCUGUCUUACCCUCCUGAGUGCUGGGAUGACAAGUCUGUGUCACAGUAUCUGGCUCUAAUGAUAUUGCAAUAUUUGGGUUUGGUCCAAAUACAUGAGGACAAGGCUUUCAACAAAGUAUAUCUGAGAAGCAGACUAUUCAUCUCAUAUUUUAAGAUGGGUUUAUUGGAACGUCUGUCACCAUAGAAAUAUACUGAAAGCCAUUGAAUUGUGUCUUAAGUGGGGAAGAUUUGAAAUGCAACAAUAUUCUUGUGGUUUAAGUAAGAAAUGUCCCAGAGAGGAGAAUGAAUGUGUUUGUACUCUUGGUCCCAGAUUAUAGCAGUGCUUGUGAAGGUUCUAGAAACUUUCCGUGGAUGCUUGCUGGGGGAAUGAGUCACUGAAUUUAUAGACUCACCUACCUUGCCUUCUGUACUGUGAGGCAGUUGAUGUGACCAGAUGCAUCCCAAUUCGGCAGCCACACCUUCACUGCCUUGUUGGUUUAUAUCCCCUCAAACUGUGAGCAAGACAAGACCUUCCCUACCUAAGUUGCUUCUCAUCAGUUAUUUUGAUCACAACCACAAGGAAAAAUAACUACACACAUGAUAUUUAAGUUUAAUAUCAACAUAAACCUUGAAGAACCCAUGCACCACGUGUGGCCUGAAGUUCAUAGCACUGGUUAUAGCCACACCUCUGCAGUACAUCCUAUAGGACACCUGCAUUUAGUUCUCCCUUUGUCAGAAACACCUUGAUUCCUUGUGCCACGAUGCAGCUUCUGUCUGACAGAGCAGGCUACGCUCCUGUCUCACACAGUCUCUCAAGGAUUUGCCUUGGCAUUCUUGCCCUUUGGGAAGCCUCCCUCCCGGGCAUCACGGCCUCCUCUUUCCCAUUGAACAACUCCCAAGAGAGGAUCUGGGAUUCCCUCACUCACAGAACCCCGAGUCACUACCUACAGCCAUUGUAUCUGUGUGUGGUGUAGCCUCGGUAUUACUCUCAAAUUCACAUCUGUAUAAUGUGUCUGUUUUCUUGCUUAAAGACAGGCCUACUGUCUGUCUUCCUCACCACAGCCAAAUUUCUCUGAGAAGGAAGCUCUGUCAUAGGUAGCCCACAGCACCAGGCCUGGGAAGAGAAGUUGUUAGCUAACUUUCUUUUAGGUUGAAAGAAGAACAAAACCGUGAUUGCUUCUGCC